Molecule: non-coding RNA, 48 nt
Filed under: Schistosoma mansoni
Lineage: Eukaryota; Metazoa; Platyhelminthes; Trematoda; Strigeidida; Schistosomatidae
Source: RNAcentral
AUCCAGCUAACGAGUCCCAAAUAGGAGGAAACGCGCGUCAUACUGGAU